Molecule: ribosomal RNA, 485 nt
Filed under: uncultured bacterium
Lineage: Bacteria
Description: partial 16S ribosomal RNA
Rfam family: Bacterial small subunit ribosomal RNA
Source: RNAcentral
GAUGAACGCUGGCGGCGUGCCUAAUACAUGCAAGUCGAACGCUGGAACUCUAGCUUGCUAGGUUGAAGGAGUGGCGAACGGGUGAGUAAUACAUAAGCAACCUACCCACGAAGACUGGGAUAAUCUCUGGAAACGGGGACUAAUACCGGAUAGGUAAUCGGAAGGCAUCUUCUGAUUAUUAAAGGUUAAAAACACUGGUGGAUGGGCUUAUGGCGCAUUAGUUAGUUGGUGAGGUAACGGCCCACCAAGACGAUGAUGCGUAGCCGGCCUGAGAGGGUGAACGGCCACAUUGGGACUGAGACACGGCCCAGACUCCUACGGGAGGCAGCAGUAGGGAAUUUUCGGCAAUGGGGGAAACCCUGACCGAGCAACGCCGCGUGAGUGAUGACGGCCUUCGGGUUGUAAAGCUCUGUUGUAAGGGAAGAACGGUAGAUAGAGAAUAUCUAAAUGACGGUACCGUACCAGAAAGCCACGGCUAACUACGU